AGAGUUUGAUCCUGGCUCAGACCGAACGCUGGCGGCAGGCUUAACACAUGCAAGUCGAACGCCCCGCAAGGGGAGUGGCAGACGGGUGAGUAACGCGUGGGAACAUACCCUUUCCUGCGGAAUAGCUCCGGGAAACUGGAAUUAAUACCGCAUACGCCCUACGGAGGAAAGAUUUAUCCGGGAAGGAUUGGCCCGCGUUGGAUUAGCUAGUUGGUGGGGUAAAGGCCUACCAAGGCGCGUCACUAGAUAAGUCUGAGAGGAUGCUCAGCCACAUUGGGACUGAGACACGGCCCAAACUCCUACGGGAGGCAGCAGUGGGGAAUAUUGGACAAUGGGCGCAAGCCUGAUCCAGCCAUGCCGCGUGAGUGAUGAAGAGCCUUAGGGUUGUAAAGGUACAUUCACCGAUGAAGAUAAUGGACGGUGUGGGA
This 428-nucleotide ribosomal RNA is filed under the name uncultured bacterium. Its description in RNAcentral is "bacterial SSU rRNA". It matches the Rfam family "Bacterial small subunit ribosomal RNA", at positions 8 to 465 of the family's 1533-position model. The record is from RNAcentral.